RNAcentral lists this ribosomal RNA (235 nucleotides) under uncultured bacterium. Its description in RNAcentral is "partial 16S ribosomal RNA". It matches the Rfam family "Bacterial small subunit ribosomal RNA", at positions 15 to 240 of the family's 1533-position model. The record is from RNAcentral.
GAUCCUGGCUCAGGAUGAACGCUGGCGGCGUGCCUAAUACAUGCAAGUAGAACGCUGAAGGAAGGAGCUUGCUCUUUCCGGAUGAGUUGCGAACGGGUGAGUAACGCGUAGGUAACCUGCCUGGUAGCGGGGGAUAACUAUUGGAAACGAUAGCUAAUACCGCAUAACAGUAGAUGUUGCAUGACAUUUACUUGAAAGGUGCAAAUGCACCACUACCAGAUGGACCUGCGUUGUA